This 1223-nucleotide ribosomal RNA is filed under the name Leuconostoc carnosum. Its description in RNAcentral is "bacterial SSU rRNA". It matches the Rfam family "Bacterial small subunit ribosomal RNA", at positions 241 to 1457 of the family's 1533-position model. The record is from RNAcentral. Lineage: Bacteria; Bacillati; Bacillota; Bacilli; Lactobacillales; Lactobacillaceae.
UUAGUUAGUUGGUGGGUAAAGGCCUACCAAGACAAUGAUGCAUAGCCGAGUUGAGAGACUGAUCGGCCACAUUGGGACUGAGACACGGCCCAAACUCCUACGGGAGGCUGCAGUAGGGAAUCUUCCACAAUGGGCGAAAGCCUGAUGGAGCAACGCCGCGUGUGUGAUGAAGGCUUUCGGGUCGUAAAGCACUGUUGUAUGGGAAGAAAAGUUAAGGUAGGGAAUGACCUUAGCCUGACGGUACCAUACCAGAAAGGGACGGCUAAAUACGUGCCAGCAGCCGCGGUAAUACGUAUGUCCCGAGCGUUAUCCGGAUUUAUUGGGCGUAAAGCGAGCGCAGACGGUUGGUUAAGUCUGAUGUGAAAGCCCGGAGCUCAACUCCGGAAAGGCAUUGGAAACUGGUUAACUUGAGUGCAGUAGAGGUAAGUGGAACUCCAUGUGUAGCGGUGGAAUGCGUAGAUAUAUGGAAGAACACCAGCGGCGAAGGCGGCUUACUGGACUGUAACUGACGUUGAGGCUCGAAAGUGUGGGUAGCAAACAGGAUUAGAUACCCUGGUAGUCCACACCGUAAACGAUGAACACUAGGUGUUAGGAGGUUUCCGCCUCUUAGUGCCGAAGCUAACGCAUUAAGUGUUCCGCCUGGGGAGUACGACCGCAAGGUUGAAACUCAAAGGAAUUGACGGGGACCCGCACAAGCGGUGGAGCAUGUGGUUUAAUUCGAAGCAACGCGAAGAACCUUACCAGGUCUUGACAUCCUUUGAAGCUUUUAGAAAUAGAAGUGUUCUCUUCGGAGACAAAGUGACAGGUGGUGCAUGGUCGUCGUCAGCUCGUGUCGUGAGAUGUUGGGUUAAGUCCCGCAACGAGCGCAACCCUUAUUGUUAGUUGCCAGCAUUCAGAUGGGCACUCUAGCGAGACUGCCGGUGACAAACCGGAGGAAGGCGGGGACGACGUCAGAUCAUCAUGCCCCUUAUGACCUGGGCUACACACGUGCUACAAUGGCGUAUACAACGAGUUGCCAACCUGCGAAGGUGAGCUAAUCUCUUAAAGUACGUCUCAGUUCGGACUGCAGUCUGCAACUCGACUGCACGAAGUCGGAAUCGCUAGUAAUCGCGGAUCAGCACGCCGCGGUGAAUACGUUCCCGGGUCUUGUACACACCGCCCGUCACACCAUGGAAGUUUGUAAUGCCCAAAGCCGGUGGCCUAACCGUAAGGAGGGAACCGUC